GAAAUGCGAUAAGUAGUGUGAAUUGCAGAAUUCAGUGAAUCAUCGAAUCUUUGAACGCACAUUGCGCCCUUUGGUAUUCCAAAGGGCAUGCCUGUUCGAGCGUCAUUUGUACCCUCAAGCUCUUGCUUGGUGUUGGGCGUCUUUGUCUUGCAAAAAGACUCGCCUUAAAACGAUUGGCAGCCGGCCUACUGGUUUCGGAGCGCAGCACAUUUUUGCGCUUGCAAUCAGCAAAAGAGGACGGCAAUCCAUCAAGUACAUUUCUCACUUUUGACCUCGGAUCAGGUAGGGAUACCCGCUGAACUUAAGC
This 307-nucleotide unclassified non-coding RNA is filed under the name plant metagenome. RNAcentral describes it as "partial contains 5.8S ribosomal RNA, internal transcribed spacer 2, and large subunit ribosomal RNA". The stretch from base 1 to 105 matches the Rfam family "5.8S ribosomal RNA", at positions 50 to 154 of the family's 154-position model. The record is from RNAcentral.